RNAcentral lists this ribosomal RNA (409 nucleotides) under bacterium. RNAcentral's name for it is "partial 16S ribosomal RNA". It matches the Rfam family "Bacterial small subunit ribosomal RNA", at positions 355 to 776 of the family's 1533-position model. The record is from RNAcentral.
UGGGGAAUAUUGCACAAUGGGCGAAAGCCUGAUGCAGCGACGCCGCGUGAGGGAUGACGGCCUUCGGGUUGUAAACCUCUUUCAGCAGGGACGAAGCGCAAGUGACGGUACCUGCAGAAGAAGCACCGGCUAACUACGUGCCAGCAGCCGCGGUAAUACGUAGGGUGCAAGCGUUGUCCGGAAUUACUGGGCGUAAAGAGUUCGUAGGCGGUUUGUCGCGUCGUUUGUGAAAACCAGCAGCUCAACUGCUGGCUUGCUGGCGAUACGGGCAGACUUGAGUACUGCAGGGGAGACUGGAAUUCCUGGUGUAGCGGUGAAAUGCGCAGAUAUCAGGAGGAACACCGGCGGCGAAGGCGGGUCUCUGGGCAGUAACUGACGCUGAGGAACGAAAGCGUGGGUAGCGAACAGG